This 492-nucleotide ribosomal RNA is filed under the name uncultured bacterium. RNAcentral describes it as "partial 16S ribosomal RNA". It matches the Rfam family "Bacterial small subunit ribosomal RNA", at positions 29 to 507 of the family's 1533-position model. The record is from RNAcentral.
AGUGAACGCUGGCGGUAGGCCUAACACAUGCAAGUCGAACGGCAGCACAGUAAGAGCUUGCUCUUACGGGUGGCGAGUGGCGGAUGGGUGAGGAAUACAUCGGAAUCUACUUUUUCGUGGGGGAUAACGUAGGGAAACUUACGCCAAUACCGCAUACGACCUACGGGUGAAAGCAGGGGAUCUUCGGACCUUGCGCGAUUGAAUGAGCCGAUGUCGGAUUAGCUAGUUGGCGGGGUAAAGGCCCACCAAGGCGACGAUCCGUAGCUGGUCUGAGAGGAUGAUCAGCCACACUGGAACUGAGACACGGUCCAGACUCCUACGGGAGGCAGCAGUGGGGAAUAUUGGACAAAGGGCGCAAGCCUGAUCCAGCCAUACCGCGUGGGUGAAGAAGGCCUUCGGGUUGUAAAGCCCUUUUGUUGGGAAAGAAAAGCAGCAGGUUAAUACCCCGCUGUUCUGACGGUACCCAAAGAAUAAGCACCGGCUAACUUCGUG